GUCAACUUAAACACUUACUACAAUUUUUAUCUUAUGUUUAAAAGUAUUUCUACUUAUUCUCAAAACGUAAUUUUUAAAAAAAUUUUCAUCUUUUCCCUUUUAAAGAAUGCUGGAUUUUUAAAAAUUACAAAUCUAUUUAUUUAUUGGGUCUACAGUUAUAUAAUUUUCAUCCUUUUUCAAAAGUCUCCAACAUUAUAUUUGUUUUUUUCUAUUAUUGACUAGAAUUUAAUAUUUAAAUUGUAUUUAAAGUGUAUUUAAGAUUCUAGUAGUUCCAGUUUGGCUAUGAUACAUCUUAGGGUGAAUGCUAAGUAACAAUUUUAAUGUAUUUCCUUAGUUUUCUCAUACUUUCUUAUCAUAAAGUGAUGAGUUAUUGAUUUGCUUUUGUUAUCAUAAUGCUUUUCCAUAGCACAAUAUUUGUUUAUCUUUAUGUCCUUGAACAUGCUGACAUCUCUGAGUACCUUCUCCUUAUUAUGAAGUCAUCAUCCUUUAUCAUCUUGUCACAUUCUCCUGUAUGGUGCAUUCAUAUUCAUUCACAAAUGUUUUGGAAGUCACUGUAUUAGAUAUAGGAGAUAGAAAAAUGAGUCUUCAGAUCAAGAGGAGCUGUACUUGAGGAACCACUUCUGGGGAGCCUAAUCUGCAUUUGGACCUGAUUUAGAUAUUGAGGAACUCCAACCACCACAUCCAGGGCAUGAGGAAACCAAGCCACAUAGGGAGGCCAUGUAGAAGGACUCCCGUCCACAGUUCUAGACCCCAGCCGUUUGAGUUAUCCUUGCUGAGGCCAUGGGCGUUAUGCAGAGACAAGCCAACUCCACAUGUGCAUUAUGUCCAAACUCCUAAAUUGCAGGAUCCAUGAACUUAAUAAAAUACUUGUGGUUUAUACACUAAGCUGUGAGGUAGUCAGUGAAACAACGGGAUAACUUAAAAGCCACAUUAUAAGAAUCAUUAGACCUUUUGUUUUAUAGUAAAAGUGAAGAGGCUGGGUAAUGAGUAAAGUAUGAAUUUCAGUGGAAAAGUUUAUACACACAUUUUAGCUGUCUAAUGGUUUAUUUACUCAUUUAUUUGGUUUUAGGAUACUGAGUUAUGUGGCUAUAUCUGUGUUAUAGGUAGUUGAUGUGCCACUGUACUUUAGUUUGUACUGGUUAAUUUGUAAACGUUCUAUUUAAUUUUGUUCUCCUACUUGAUUAAAAACUCAAAUAUCA
This 1199-nucleotide long non-coding RNA is filed under the name Equus caballus (horse). Its description in RNAcentral is "lncRNA (ENSECAG00000050334.1)". The record is from RNAcentral. Lineage: Eukaryota; Metazoa; Chordata; Mammalia; Perissodactyla; Equidae.